RNAcentral lists this ribosomal RNA (211 nucleotides) under uncultured alveolate. RNAcentral describes it as "partial Bacterial small subunit ribosomal RNA". It matches the Rfam family "Bacterial small subunit ribosomal RNA", at positions 88 to 299 of the family's 1533-position model. The record is from RNAcentral.
AUGGCGACCGGCGCACGGGUGCGGAACGCGUAUGGAACCUGCCCCUGUCAGGGGAAUAGCCCAGAGAAAUUUGGAUUAAUGCCCCAUAGUACUAUGUUAUUGCAUGAUAAUAUAGUUAAAGAUUUAUCGGACAGGGAUGGCCAUGCGUACCAUUAGUUAGUUGGUAAGGUAACGGCUUACCAAGGCAGCGAUGGUUAGGGGCCCUGAGAGG